AGAGUUUGAUCAUGGCUCAGGAUGAACGCUGGCGGCGUGCCUAACACAUGCAAGUCGAGCGAUUUCUUCGGAGAAGAGCGGCGGACGGGUGAGUAACGCGUGGGUAACCUGCCCUGUACACACGGAUAACAUACCGAAAGGUAUGCUAAUACGAGAUAAUAUGCUUUAUCGCAUGGUAGAAGUAUCAAAGCUUUUGCGGUACAGGAUGGACCCGCGUCUGAUUAGCUAGUUGGUAAGGUAACGGCUUACCAAGGCGACGAUCAGUAGCCGACCUGAGAGGGUGAUCGGCCACAUUGGAACUGAGACACGGUCCAAACUCCUACGGGAGGCAGCAGUGGGAAUAUUGCACAAUGGGCGUAAGCCUGAUGCGGCAACGCCGCGUGAGCGAUGAAGGCCUUCGGGUCGUAAAGCUCUGUCCUCAAGGAAGAUAAUGACGGUACUUGAGGAGGAAGCCCCGGCUAACUACGUG
RNAcentral lists this ribosomal RNA (469 nucleotides) under uncultured bacterium. RNAcentral's name for it is "bacterial SSU rRNA". It matches the Rfam family "Bacterial small subunit ribosomal RNA", at positions 8 to 507 of the family's 1533-position model. The record is from RNAcentral.